This is a non-coding RNA of Paramuricea clavata, 391 nucleotides long. Lineage: Eukaryota; Metazoa; Cnidaria; Anthozoa; Malacalcyonacea; Plexauridae. The record is from the annotation of a GenBank genome assembly.
GCGGUUGAGACGGUUGGCAAAAUAACCAUAAGACUUUAAUAUGAAUUUUGGAACGGUUGACGGUUGACAGCAUUGAUGAAAAAAAUAGCAUUAAAUAUUUUUUUAUUAAAUAUUUUUUUAUAGAAGUGGCAGCCGAUGUAUCAUCUCUUUCCGCGUCUGACAUAAUUUCUUGCGGAACUCCUUAAUGAUAUAUCGUAACACCUAUACCCGCUUUCCUCAACAUAAACAGCGACUAGCUGCUUCAUUCACCUCACUAUCGGCAGAUGAAAUGGCACCGUCUUUAAUAAACAUUCUAGAUUGACUCUAGGGGCAUAAUUAUCAACAUGUUGUUGUUGUCCGUCAUUCUGCGUGGUCGGAGUUUGGACAUGUUCAGGUAGUUGCCGGGAUUUCG